CGCGAAUGUGAACGCCAUUUUUUCCUCCGGUUCUGCUCGUCGGUUCCUGGCUCCGGUCGGCGGAUGAUGCAGGCAGUUCCCCAACCGAUUUGAGAUUUGUCGGUGGAUCGUCUUCUUCUUCAAAAAUCAAACUGGAAAGAGUUUCUGUCUGGCCAGCACUGGACCAAAUAGCGUAAGUGCAUAUGAACAGUUUGAAAACAAGACUCUUUUGAAAACAGAAGGUUUAGACAUCACUGUCAUUUUAUUUGGACAAUAGACACUUUUAUAAAGUAUGGGAAAAUACAAAUAUCUCAAGUUUCACUGAUGCCAUGAGGCAGCUGGUUAUGGUAGAUGUCUCAGGUGUUUUUUGAUUUUUUUUAGUAAAAAGGAAAGAAAAUAGAAUAGGCAUUUGAUCAGAGAGGACAUCAAGAGCUGAACGACACAUUUGCAGGUUAAAAGUAAAAGAC
Long non-coding RNA from Acanthochromis polyacanthus (spiny chromis), 446 nucleotides. RefSeq lists it as uncharacterized. The record is from RefSeq and is a predicted model, not a curated record. NCBI's taxonomy places the organism in Eukaryota, Metazoa, Chordata, Actinopteri, Pomacentridae. The transcript is spliced from 2 exons.